GCCCCUAUAGCUCAGUGGUAGAGCACCUCCUUAGUAAGGAGAAGGUCCGUGGUUCAAUCCCGCGUGGGGGCA
The sequence is a transfer RNA, 72 nucleotides long. It matches the Rfam family "tRNA". From Rfam's summary of the family: Transfer RNA (tRNA) molecules are approximately 80 nucleotides in length. Their secondary structure includes four short double-helical elements and three loops (D, anti-codon, and T loops). Further hydrogen bonds mediate the characteristic L-shaped molecular structure. tRNAs have two regions of fundamental functional importance: the anti-codon, which is responsible for specific mRNA codon recognition, and the 3' end, to which the tRNAs corresponding amino acid is attached (by aminoacyl-tRNA synthetases). tRNAs cope with the degeneracy of the genetic code in two manners: having more than one tRNA (with a specific anti-codon) for a particular amino acid; and 'wobble' base-pairing, i.e. permitting non-standard base-pairing at the 3rd anti-codon position. The record is from Rfam.